This 409-nucleotide long non-coding RNA is filed under the name Malus domestica (apple). RNAcentral's name for it is "long non-coding RNA (MDOM_LNC014837)". The record is from RNAcentral. Lineage: Eukaryota; Viridiplantae; Streptophyta; Magnoliopsida; Rosales; Rosaceae.
CUCGACAAAGGCUACGACGUCCACGGCCUGAUCCGACGGUCCUCCAACUUCAACACCCAGCGCAUCAACCACAUCUACAUCGACCCCCACAACGCCCACAAGGCCCGCAUGAAGCUCCACUACGCCGACCUCACCGACUCCUCCUCCCUCCGCCGCUGGCUCGACAUAAUCGCCCCCAACGAGGUCUACAACCUCGCCGCCCAAUCGCACGUCGCCGUCUCGUUUGAGAUCCCCGAUUACACCGCCGACGUCGUUGCCACCGGCGCCCUCCGCCUCCUCGAGGCUGUCCGCUCCCACAUCGCCGCCACCGGCCGCACCGACAUUAAGUACUACCAAGCCGGGUCGUCCGAGAUGUUCGGGGCCACCCCGCCUCCUCAGUCCGAAACGACGCCGUUCCACCCCCGAUCCC